GAUUAGUGGCGAACGGGUGAGUAACACGUGGGCAAUCUGCCCUUCACUCUGGGACAAGCCCUGGAAACGGGGUCUAAUACCGGAUACUGACCCUCGCAGGCAUCUGCGAGGUUCGAAAGCUCCGGCGGUGAAGGAUGAGCCCGCGGCCUAUCAGCUUGUUGGUGAGGUAAUGGCUCACCAAGGCGACGACGGGUAGCCGGCCUGAGAGGGCGACCGGCCACACUGGGACUGAGACACGGCCCAGACUCCUACGGGAGGCAGCAGUGGGGAAUAUUGCACAAUGGGCGAAAGCCUGAUGCAGCGACGCCGCGUGAGGGAUGACGGCCUUCGGGUUGUAAACCUCUUUCAGCAGGGAAGAAGCGAAAGUGACGGUACCUGCAGAAGAAGCGCCGGCUAACUACGUGCCAGCAGCCGCGGUAAUACGUAGGGCGCAAGCGUUGUCCGGAAUUAUUGGGCGUAAAGAGCUCGUAGGCGGCUUGU
Molecule: ribosomal RNA, 480 nt
Filed under: Streptomyces sp.
Lineage: Bacteria; Bacillati; Actinomycetota; Actinomycetes; Kitasatosporales; Streptomycetaceae
Description: bacterial SSU rRNA
Rfam family: Bacterial small subunit ribosomal RNA
Source: RNAcentral